CCCCCCCCCCGGGUUUUCCUGCCCCGGCCUCGGCUCGGAGGUUCUUCUCUGCGCGGCUGCGAGGCGUGUCUCACUUUCGCAAGGCAUUCGCCUAUCUAUUCGGCUGGGUCUUAACCCAAUUAAAGUCCCAGAUUGCAAGAGAGCGAGACGUGGGAAGGAUAAUUGCAGAGGCAGGGCUGAGCAGAGGACAGGAGAGGACAAAAAAAAAAAAGAGUUAGGUAUCCACUGUGCAAUGCCCGCCUCUUACUCAGCAUUUUCCGUCGGUAGAUUAUAAAGCAGCUGGAAAGUACAAUAGUCUGCAAAUAUGCCCUCUAGCAGCCUGGAACUGUCUUUGCUGAUGUAUCACUGGAAAUAAAUGAUGAAAGAACAUGUCUACAGAAUGCUAAUAAUUUUGGGAUUGCAGUGACAGAGGUUAUUUGAGCACAUCGGGGAAUGCCAAACUGUUCUAAGCCUAAGGAAUAAUGCCAUACAUAUGCUCUCAGUGGGCACUGGGGAAAUCCUACACACAACAGAGGACACAGAAAGAUGAGAGAAUGGAACUCAGUAAAGGAAAUGGAGUCUGAUUCAGUAGCUUUGAAAUUUUCAUUCUCCUGGUCCACAUAGAAGAUGCAGAAGUGGUGUUUUGGGAUUCAUGUGUUCAGAGCCUAGGUGUAAAAAGACACAUUCCAGAGGUAAUUUGUGUAACUUGUCACUGAAUCUGCUACAAUUGAAGGAAAAGACUCAAAGGAGGAACUGAAGUGUAGAGUCAUGUGGUAGAAGACCUAUUUCCCCAAUGAUGUUGCUCUUUAACUGUUAUAUUUCAGGUUCAUGAACUGUUUUUAAUAUGAUAUAUAUGGGACUUGCCUGUGUUUGAAAACUCUUAUAUAUUAAAGAGUAAGGCUUGUCUUGUUAAGGCACUAGCCUGGUACUUAUGAGCUGUA
Long non-coding RNA from Alligator mississippiensis (American alligator), 920 nucleotides. RefSeq lists it as uncharacterized. The record is from RefSeq and is a predicted model, not a curated record. Lineage: Eukaryota; Metazoa; Chordata; Crocodylia; Alligatoridae. The transcript is spliced from 4 exons.